RNAcentral lists this long non-coding RNA (3726 nucleotides) under Medicago truncatula (barrel medic). RNAcentral describes it as "long non-coding RNA (MTRU_LNC001482)". Lineage: Eukaryota; Viridiplantae; Streptophyta; Magnoliopsida; Fabales; Fabaceae. The record is from RNAcentral.
UAAACAAAAAAACUACAUUUUUUUAAUGUAAAAUACAUAUAUUAUAAAUAAAAAGGUGAAAUCUCAUGCAAGAGUACAACCACAUAGAAAUUAAUGUACAAGAAGUACUAAAGUCAAGCAAUAAUAAAAAACAUAGAAUCCCACCCACAGAAAAACAAAAGUAAGAACUAAAACACCAACGGAAAACCAACUAAACUCCUAUCAAGAACCCUCAACCACAGGCUAAAGUUUAGAGUUCGACUCGACUUUUAGUUCGUCGAACUUGGUUCAUGAACCAAAUAAGUUGAGUUUGAGCUGAAAAUUAAAUUCGUUAAAUAAAUGAAUGAGCUUCAACUAUAUAUAAUUUAACUCAUUUGAAAGUUAAGCUCAUUUAGUUCAUGAAUCGACUCGAUUACAAAUAUAUAUUUGCAACAUGUGGCAAAUUUCAAGGGGCAACAUAGAGAGUUAGCACAAAACAAGUCCCACAUCGAAGGUCUUGUAAGCUAACAAAGGUCAAAGUAAAAUAAGCUCUUGUGUUGCAUCCUUCUACGAUGUGUUUUCACUGUCAUUAAAGUGACAUACACAUUCCAUUUUUCACUUGAACAAAGUAGUUUAAUUUUUUUUAAGUUACCACUAUUACGUGAGCACUCGGUUUCUUGAACCAAUUUGUGGUUUGGAAGGGGUUUUUGGGAAUUCUAUAGAUUUGUAUAUCUAAUAUUUGCCUUUUAAAAAUAAUUAAAUUAAAUGGUGAAAAGAUCUAAAAAAAUAUCUCUUUUUUUACAACAAAAGAAAAUAAUUUGAAUUAUGAGUUUCAAGCUAACUAACCGAACCUAACGAGUCGAACUGAGUUGUUCAUGAACUUUUAAUGAGUCGAACUUAAGCCAAAAAAUAGUUCAUAUCGAAUUCGAGUCGAGUUUCGAGCCGAACUAUUUCUUAAAGAGUUGAGUCGAGCUCAGACAAGUUCGACACGAUUCGAUACAUUUCCAGCCCUAACCACAACCGAACAAGAGCAAGACUAGGAACAUAACCCAUCAGUCAACCAAUCCAAGACAAAUCUACCAUAAGUCACUAACGGUGUCAACAUAGAAUGUGUUCAUGAUCCCAAUUAUAGAAGGAACAAGGGUGACCACAAUGUUUUCAUAAAAACCACUUUCAAGAGGAAAAUUUAACAAUAUCCACCAACCGUAGCAGAUCAGUUAAUAUUUGUUAAAAGUGGAGAAAGAAAAGCCCAAUUUUUGCACGUAAUUUAGCCUAGGAUGGUCCUUCCCAACGACUUAGGUUUUCAGAGCCACCCAUGACAACCAAGAAUGAUUCCAUAAUAAAUAAUAAUUAUUUUAACAAUUUUGUUUUAAAAUCAAUACCAAUUUACUUUGUAAAUAUUCUGAUUCGCAUAAUUGACGUGAAUAAAAAAGUAGAAUAAAUUAUGCAAUGAAAUUUUAAAUUUACAUUUUACACGUUCAUAAUAAUGUUCUCACUCCAAUGGUGUAAUAUAUUCAUACAUACCUUUACUAUCACGAAAGGGUAAAAAAUUAGUGAAGGAAAAGAUAAUGAAAAGUUAGCUAAAUUAUAUUUAAUUAUUAUGAUUAUUAAGCUUAUUAUAUGAUUCUAAAAUAACUUAUUGAUAUAUUUAUGAGAUAAUUAGUGAUGAUUCUAAUGUUAUGAAGGGUUUUUAAAAUUUUAUAAUGCUUAAAUCAUUUAAUUAUUUUUAUAAGACCAUAAACUUUAUACAUUAUAAAGAGAUCAAGUCAUUUACUAUUAUUUAGAUGUAAAUAGAAAGAAAAAAAAAUAUGGUUGAAACUUUAAAGUUGGUUUAUGUUCUGAUUCUAUUUUAUUCCAUAUUUCUUGGCAUAAUAGUAUGUAAUUCUUCUGGAAUUACGUAUUUUGACGUUCGUUGUGAAAAAGAUAAAGAUUGUCCAAAACCUCCGAGGAUUAAUAUUAGGAUUAAUAUUAGGUGUCGUAAAGGCUUCUGUGUACAGAUCUGAAACAUACUAAUGAUAUAAAUGAGUUCUUGCUUUAACAAGAUAAUUGUAUGAUAUAUCUUAUGUUAAAAUGUUUCAUUUGUUAUCAUUUAGAUUUUAUGCAUGCACUAAAUAUUUAUUCCUCCUCCUGCUCCUCAAUACUAAUUUCACAUAAUCCUCAUCUUGAAACCAUUAAUUCAAACCAAGUCUUAUCAAAUCCAUUGUUAAUUAUGUUUCAGUCCUCACUGAGAUGAGACAAUAUGAAAAUAUUAUAAUGAAUCAACAAUAAGCAGUAUCAAAAAGAAAUUAAACAAAAAAACUACAUUUUUUUAAUGUAAAAUACAUAUAUUAUAAAUAAAAAGGUGAAAUCUCAUGCAAGAGUACAACCACAUAGAAAUUAAUGUACAAGAAGUACUAAAGUCAAGCAAUAAUAAAAAACAUAGAAUCCCACCCACAGAAAAACAAAAGUAAGAACUAAAACACCAACGGAAAACCAACUAAACUCCUAUCAAGAACCCUCAACCACAGGCUAAAGUUUAGAGUUCGACUCGACUUUUAGUUCGUCGAACUUGGUUCAUGAACCAAAUAAGUUGAGUUUGAGCUGAAAAUUAAAUUCGUUAAAUAAAUGAAUGAGCUUCAACUAUAUAUAAUUUAACUCAUUUGAAAGUUAAGCUCAUUUAGUUCAUGAAUCGACUCGAUUACAAAUAUAUAUUUGCAACAUGUGGCAAAUUUCAAGGGGCAACAUAGAGAGUUAGCACAAAACAAGUCCCACAUCGAAGGUCUUGUAAGCUAACAAAGGUCAAAGUAAAAUAAGCUCUUGUGUUGCAUCCUUCUACGAUGUGUUUUCACUGUCAUUAAAGUGACAUACACAUUCCAUUUUUCACUUGAACAAAGUAGUUUAAUUUUUUUUAAGUUACCACUAUUACGUGAGCACUCGGUUUCUUGAACCAAUUUGUGGUUUGGAAGGGGUUUUUGGGAAUUCUAUAGAUUUGUAUAUCUAAUAUUUGCCUUUUAAAAAUAAUUAAAUUAAAUGGUGAAAAGAUCUAAAAAAAUAUCUCUUUUUUUACAACAAAAGAAAAUAAUUUGAAUUAUGAGUUUCAAGCUAACUAACCGAACCUAACGAGUCGAACUGAGUUGUUCAUGAACUUUUAAUGAGUCGAACUUAAGCCAAAAAAUAGUUCAUAUCGAAUUCGAGUCGAGUUUCGAGCCGAACUAUUUCUUAAAGAGUUGAGUCGAGCUCAGACAAGUUCGACACGAUUCGAUACAUUUCCAGCCCUAACCACAACCGAACAAGAGCAAGACUAGGAACAUAACCCAUCAGUCAACCAAUCCAAGACAAAUCUACCAUAAGUCACUAACGGUGUCAACAUAGAAUGUGUUCAUGAUCCCAAUUAUAGAAGGAACAAGGGUGACCACAAUGUUUUCAUAAAAACCACUUUCAAGAGGAAAAUUUAACAAUAUCCACCAACCGUAGCAGAUCAGUUAAUAUUUGUUAAAAGUGGAGAAAGAAAAGCCCAAUUUUUGCACGUAAUUUAGCCUAGGAUGGUCCUUCCCAACGACUUAGGUUUUCAGAGCCACCCAUGACAACCAAGAAUGAUUCCAUAAUAAAUAAUAAUUAUUUUAACAAUUUUGUUUUAAAAUCAAUAUCAAUUUACUUUGUAAAUAUUCUGAUUCGCAUAAUUGACGUGAAUAAAAAAGUAGAAUAAAUUAUGCAAUGAAAUUUUAAAUUUACAUUUUACACGUUCAUAAUAAUGUUCUCACUCCAAUGGUGUAAUAUAUUCAUACAUAC